GAUGAACGCUGGCGGCGUGCCUAAUACAUGCAAGUCGAGCGAACAGACGAGAAGCUUGCUCCUCUGACGUUAGCGGCGGACGGGUGAGUAACACGUGGAUAACCUACCUAUAAGACUGGGAUAACUUCGGGAAACCGGAGCUAAUACCGGAUAAUAUAUUGAACCGCAUGGUUCAAUAGUGAAAGACGGUUUUGCUGUCACUUAUAGAUGGAUCCGCGCCGCAUUAGCUAGUUGGUAAGGUAACGGCUUACCAAGGCAACGAUGCAUAGCCGACCUGAGAGGGUGAUCGGCCACACUGGAACUGAGACACGGUCCAGACUCCUACGGGAGGCAGCAGUAGGGAAUCUUCCGCAAUGGGCGAAAGCCUGACGGAGCAACGCCGCGUGAGUGAUGAAGGUCUUCGGAUCGUAAAACUCUGUUAUUAGGGAAGAACAAAUGUGUAAGUAACUAUGCACGUCUUGACGGUACCUAAUCAGAAAGCCACGGCUAACUACGUG
RNAcentral lists this ribosomal RNA (497 nucleotides) under uncultured bacterium. RNAcentral's name for it is "partial 16S ribosomal RNA". It matches the Rfam family "Bacterial small subunit ribosomal RNA", at positions 28 to 507 of the family's 1533-position model. The record is from RNAcentral.